This is a long non-coding RNA of Gasterosteus aculeatus aculeatus (three-spined stickleback), 2233 nucleotides long. Lineage: Eukaryota; Metazoa; Chordata; Actinopteri; Perciformes; Gasterosteidae. The record is from Ensembl.
GGGAUUCGUGAACAUUCUUGACAAAGAGACAAAAUCCCGGGGAACAUCCCCACCUGCCGCCACCACCAACCGAACUCACAAUGCCCUCCAUCCGUCUUUCCCUCUUUAUCCUGGGUUUGGUUGUGGCUUGUGUCUCAGGUGAAAAAUCAAAUACCACUUCAAACCCCACAAAUUCAAACUCCAAAAUUUCAAACUCCGAAACUUCAAACUCCGAAACUUCAAAUGUAAAUGGCUCCACUACCGCCACUCAAACAUCCCUCAACGCCAUCACCACCACCGGAACCACCACCAAUGCCACCGAUGCCUCAAGCUACACACCGAGCAGCAGCGCCAUCUCGCCCUCGACAGCAACGCAGACCGGAUUCUCCAGUUCAAGUGGGGGAAGUGUCAAAACAACAAGCGCACCUAGAACCACGGACAAAAUGACAACAACUACCACCAAAGUACACAAAAAGGAGACAACCACCACUGCUAAGCCAGCUGAGACGGCGUCAGUGGACACCACCGGCAUUAUCAUCCUAGUUGUGAUCGGCGUCGUAAUCCUUGGAUUUGGAGUUUGCUGCUACUUACAGCGGAAUAGAAGAAGGCGGUACUCUGUGGACUUCACCUCCAGACCGGAUGAAGCCAACAUCCCUCUCAGCACCAUGGAGCCCGAGUUACAGGUCGAUGCCGCGCCUCAGAACGGACUGCAAACCUUUGAAAGGGAAGAAGCUAAGACAGAGAUGCGAGAACCAGAGGCCAAGCCUGAAGCAAAGGAGGAGCAGAAAGGUGAGGCUGAGGAAUCUCACGUUGGUCCCGGGGCUGAGUCUGCUGCCCCGGCGGCGACCCCAGAGAGCCCCGCGGACGAACCCAAAGCGGCCGCCGUUGAGCAGAGUCCCCCCGCGCCCGUGGAGCCAAGUGUGGACGAGAAAACCGACGAAGAAGGCGACGUCUCCAACAAGACCUCUGUGGAGUCGCUGAAAGAGACCAACGAGAACAACAGCAAUAAUGCCGACUUCAAUGCGACUGGAGAUGUGAUCAGCAUCAACUUCUGGGACGUUCCUCUCAAUAGUCCGCUGUGAGACAUUUCACCUAUCUGUGCUGUUCUUCAGGAACUUGAUUGAAGGAGUGACCACGACGGAGAAGGGCACGUCUGCUCGUACCGUGUGAGAUAUUUAGCGGGCUGUUUUCUCCUUGUUAGAAACAAAUUUACUGCAGCAGAGCAGCUUUUUCCCAGUUAAACGUUAGCUGAACUCUGAGUUUUAAGCAUUUUAGUGAUUUAACGGUGACUAUUUAGUUGGUCUAUAUACUAAAUGUGAUUACGUUUGGUACUGCAGAACAGUAAUACACGUUGAAUUUCAUCUCCCAAGCCAUUCAGCUUUUAUAAACUUAUAUAAACAUAUUAUACGUGGUUUCUAACACACUGAGAUGUAGUUUUAAGCAGCCAUAAUUUACUCUUUUUGUGGAAAUAUAUUAAUAGAGUAAAAUACAUUUGUAUUAAUAUACUUUACAUUAAUCAAACCUAACUGAUAUUCUUUCAUCACAUAACGAUAAACACAUUUGUAAAUAAUGAUGUAUAAAUAAGCAAGACGUUAUAAGAUUGUCAGAUUUAAAUCAGUGUUCUUUCUUAAAUUUAUGAUGUAAUGGUAUUUUGUAACUCAUGCAUUUUGAUUUUUUCAUGUGUUUCCCAUUCAGUAGUGUGAAGGUUUAUGCUAAAAAUUGCAAUGAAUGAUGAAAAGUAUUGUAAUUUGUCUUGAAUGUUUUUUGCAAUGAAUUUCCUUUACAGUUCAUAGGCGCCAUCUUGGCUAAUCUUAACCGACCACAUUACGUAAUGAAAAAAGUGACACAAACCAGCAGGUUGUUAACUGUAAAACAAAAUGAACAAACUAAAGAUGGGUCAAUGUUUCUUUUUACCAGAAAUCAUUUUGCUUAUAAAAUAAAAUAACUUGAUCAACAUUAUAUUCAUCAUGUAACCUUCAAUCCACAAUUGUUAUUCACAUUUCUGAUUAACAUCAAUAAACUGUAUACUCGCACAUCUUUGGCCUCUAAAAAUAAUCACCAUACAGUUUUUUCUGCUCACUUUCACCAGCUGUUCUUUUAGAUAUAAAAAUUGUAUCUGGUAGUAGACGUGUACAGUCAUUAUUGCUAAAUAAACCUUCAACAGAUGGAGGUUGAAUCUUAUUUUUGUUUUGUUUUAUGCAUUUUAUUUUUUGCUUUAUUUACUGUGUUUCAGAAAAAUGAUCUUACAAUACAG